AUUGAACGCUGGCGGCAGGCCUAACACAUGCAAGUCGAACGGUAACAGGAGGACGCUUGCUUCUUUGCUGACGAGUGGCGGACGGGUGAGUAAUGUCUUGGAAACUGCCUGAUGGAGGGGGAUAACUACUGGAAACGGUAGCUAAUACCGCAUAACGUCGCAAGACCAAAGAGGGGGACCUUCGGGCCUCUUGCCAUCGGAUGUGCCCAGAUGGGAUUAGCUAGUAGGUGGGGUAACGGCUCACCUAGGCGACGAUCCCUAGCUGGUCUGAGAGGAUGACCAGCCACACUGGAACUGAGACACGGUCCAGACUCCUACGGGAGGCAGCAGUGGGGAAUAUUGCACAAAGGGCGCAAGCCUGAUGCAGCCAUGCCGCGUGUAUGAAGAAGGACUUCGGGUUGUAAAGUACUUUCAGCGGGGAGGAAGGGAGUAAAGUUAAUACCUUUGCUCAUUGACGUUACCCGCAGAAGAAGCACCGGCUAACUCCGUG
This 490-nucleotide ribosomal RNA is filed under the name uncultured bacterium. Its description in RNAcentral is "partial 16S ribosomal RNA". It matches the Rfam family "Bacterial small subunit ribosomal RNA", at positions 30 to 507 of the family's 1533-position model. The record is from RNAcentral.